CCUACGGGGGGCAGCAGUAAGGAAUAUUGGUCAAUGGACGAAAGUCUGAACCAGCCAUCCCGCGUGCAGGAUGAAAGCCCUAUGGGUUGUAAACUGCUUUUAGCAGAGCAGAAAAGCUCUCAUUAAUGAGAGUCUGACGGUAUCUGCAGAAUAAGCACCGGCUAACUCCGUGCCAGCAGCCGCGGUAAUACGGAGGGUGCGGGAGUUAUCCGGAAUUACUGGGUUGUAGGGGGAGGAUGACGUCAGUGGAGAAAUCUUGUCGCUUAACGAUAAAAUUGCCAAUGAUACUGGUACUCUUGAAUUGGGUUGAGGUUAGCGGAAUGUGACAUGUAGCGGUGAAAUGCAUAGAUAUGUCAUGGAACACCAAUUGCGAAGGCAGCUAACUGGGCCUUGAUUGACGCUGAGGCACGAAAGCGUGGGUAGCGAACAGGAUUAGAUACCCCAGUAGUC
Molecule: ribosomal RNA, 450 nt
Filed under: uncultured bacterium
Lineage: Bacteria
Description: partial 16S ribosomal RNA
Rfam family: Bacterial small subunit ribosomal RNA
Source: RNAcentral